RNAcentral lists this non-coding RNA (30 nucleotides) under Rattus norvegicus (Norway rat). Lineage: Eukaryota; Metazoa; Chordata; Mammalia; Rodentia; Muridae. The record is from RNAcentral.
UUCCAAGAUAUUAAUGACAUGCCACCCACC